This 21-nucleotide transfer RNA is filed under the name Ambystoma californiense (California tiger salamander). Its description in RNAcentral is "partial tRNA-Thr". Lineage: Eukaryota; Metazoa; Chordata; Amphibia; Caudata; Ambystomatidae. The record is from RNAcentral.
ACUAAGAAUCUUCUCAAGGUA